UUUCCCUACUAAUCCUACGCUUUUAUUUUAUGCAUUUAGAAUUCUGAGAUGGCUCCAGGGACUUCACCGACCACCAAAGGGCCACACCAUGUGACUAAGUGGAAACAGGAUCAUUCUGCCACCAACAGCAGCUGGACCAAGCACAUGACCUUGAUGUGAACUGCUCCCCAGAAUUGACUGGCACAGGACAGGUGAGAGAUAAAGACAAGACAGAAAUGCCCAGAGAAGUUGGAGAAGACACCAUUGAGACAAUGGAAUGUCCACUAACGCUUCGAGACUUCAGAACUCUGAUCAAUGUUGGAACCACGUGAGAGUUGGAGGCCUGAGGCAAAUGAUGC
This 338-nucleotide long non-coding RNA is filed under the name Vombatus ursinus (common wombat). RNAcentral describes it as "lncRNA (ENSVURG00010021064.1)". Lineage: Eukaryota; Metazoa; Chordata; Mammalia; Diprotodontia; Vombatidae. The record is from RNAcentral.